AAGUUAUUUUCACGUGACCUCUUUUUUUUGGGGGGGGCGAGGGGUAGAGGUGGGUGGGAGGGGUUUGGCUCUAAAAUGAUGAUCUGCCUUGAGUACUAUUUUACAUAAAUUACUUCCUUUGGAUUUAAUUUUUUAAAAUAAUCCUUAGAAGAUUUUUUUUUUUUGCUUCAGUGAAGGGAGAUUAAGAUUCAAGGCUCUCAGGCUGUAUUCCUAAAUCUGCUGGUAAAUUGUAUGGCUUAGAAGAUCCAUCACUGUCUAUGUUUCUCUGUCUGGUGGUGUUAGUGUUUGUCGUUGUUUUCCUCCCUCCCCUCACACCUCCAACCCAAAAAGAGUCCAUUUGUUAUUACCAUUAUGUCAUCCUUUGAGGAUGGUAAAGGCACCAUUUGCCCUUUCAAAAGAGUGAUUUGAGAUUCAUUCUGACAUAAGCUUUCCUGGCCAGUGGUAACUCAAUAUUAUUAGAAAAUACGCAAUA
Molecule: long non-coding RNA, 472 nt
Filed under: Anser cygnoides (Swan goose)
Lineage: Eukaryota; Metazoa; Chordata; Aves; Anseriformes; Anatidae
Description: lncRNA (ENSACDG00005016131.1)
Source: RNAcentral